UGAAAACUAAGUGUUUCUAAGUGCCUUUCAGAAUUAGAGUAAUUAAUAAUGCAUAUCUGGUAUUCAUAAGAGUUAAUGUGGAUUUCCUAUUGGACUUUUCUAUUUGUUGAAGGCAGAAGAACCAACAUGGCUUGUUUAAAUCAAAUAAGGUCACUGUUUGAAGAACUAAUCCCGAGGAAGAAAAGCUAGAUCCAUUACUAGUAUUGAAAAGCAUUCCCCUGUUCCCAAAGACCAGCUGUAUCCUUGAGUCUACAGCACCAGAUGAUGGGGCAGAAGAAGGCACAGAAGUGUUUUUAAUGAUUAUUCCAUUUUAAGAUAACUGUACAUGAAAAUGAUAGUCUGUACAAUUAUUUUUUUCCUCCAGAAAAGCCUCCUGAGCUCUGAAGAGAUGCAUGGAGGAUUCCAUCUUAGCAAGUCAAGAGGAUGACUGAAAAUGCCAAGUCUUUUAAGGUGAAAUUGAUCCUAGUAGACAUUCAGAAGGACAAGUGUGAGAGUUUCUGCCCCAGGGAAACCACCCAGAGUUGUAAACUACUUGUUUAUGUGAUAAAGUUUGCCCAGAGUCUGUGCCACCCAGAUGCAAAAAAAUAAACCUCCAAUCCUUUGGCCAAAUUGAUAAUGAGUAGUGAUUAACAAAAGUUCUUUUCCUUGGCUAGACUCCCAGGAGAGAGAUUCUGUUUCUUCCAGGUGGCUUAAAGAGGAGCUUGCCUUUGUGUGUUCAUCAUGUUCCAGGAAAAGGGAAGGCAGAGCUAAUGCCUCUCCUACAGGGUGGACCCUUGGUUAAACUUUGAACACCAAAUUUUGAUAAUUCUGAAGCACACAUUGAUUUUAUGGUUUUCUUAAACUCAAGGAUGCCACUAAUUGGGUACAGAAGUUGAAUUGACUUGUUCAUCAAAUAAGAUUUCUAAGGAUCUAUCAUGCAUGCAGAUGGCAGUCAAUAAAUGUUCUCUAUAGAUGCAGCAUCUCUGAGAUGGGGCCUACAAUCAAGUGGAUCUUAUCUCACCUGCCACUUGGUGAGCCACUAAGUGGCCAAGCCACUUAACCCAGGCUCACCAAUCAAAGAGCUCCACCCCGGACACAGUGAUUGGUCCAACAGUCCUAGCAGGGCCACUGAGAAUCUCUGGAAUAGGAGAGAUCACUAUAAACUCUAUGAAGGAGAGACUCCCUAUUUCUGACUUUGUGAGGACAAAGAAACCAGGUGAACUUGGAACUUUUGGAAGGCACAUUUGCUUCCACAUGGAGAUAGUCUGCCUGGGAAUGAAGCCAACUCAGAGGAAGACAAAGCCAAGUUUUGUAUGAAGAGAGGGCAAAGAGCUGAUGUCAUCUUUUGAAACUUCAUGCCUUAAAACUGGAAUCUGCUUUCUUCCCAAGGAGAGAUUCAUAAUCAAUUCAACAUUCCUUGUGAAUACCUUAGCUUAGGAUCUUGUGGACAUUCAUAUUAAUGAUUUUUUUUCCUUAUCACAAAAAAAUUUAAUCUUAGUAGGACUGUGUCAUGUAGAAAGUUAAAGUCCCUUGUGAUCAUUUCCACUUUGAAAAUCACUGUAUGUAGUUUUGUGCAUAUUCCUUUAGAUAUUUCUAUCAAUAUACUAAUGAAAUGGGAUGUAAUUGAGAAUUUUCUUAGUGUCUAUUUUACUAGAGGCCCAUAAAAUUGAGGAUAAAACAAUAGGUGUCAACACCUACAUUCUAGAGUGAGGUUAUCAGACUAUUUAUGUAGGAUUUGCAAAGUGACUGAUUCAGGUCUGCCAUUAUUAGUUUAUAUAAGAAGCUAUAUUUUUGAGAAGGCUAUGAAUUAAUGAAGAGAUUGAUAAGGCCAAUAGGAGCACAUUUCUGGAGAACAUUUUUGGCAUGGUGGGUAUAGCCCCCAUCCUGAGGUGGGGUCAGAGAAUACUUCCCUUUCACUGUAAGUCAAAUGGGGGAAGAGACUUCAAGAAAAUCACUCAGAAGAGCUUUUAUGUAACCCUGGAAUUUGCGGGAUAUGGUACCUGGUAGCUCAUUCAUCCCUCAUUCCCACUUGUAGGGCAGCAGAGGGAAGAGAUGAGACUGAACUCAUAAUGUGAUUUGAUUUGACUGCCUGCCAACUGUUUCUAAUUUGGAAUCAUUGCAAAACAUGAAAUCAUCCAAGUAGAAUGCAGCUAUCUGGUUUGGUUGACACUUGAGAAACUUUCCUCUAUCACAUCCAAUCACAGAUUUCUCCUCCAAAGCCACAAUCUUUCUUUCACACUCUCCUGAGUCACUGCUCCUAUCCCGGGUUGUCUCCACUCAGUAGACUCAGGCACAGAACAAAUGAGAUUGUUAUUAUGUGAAGAGAUUUUGUAGGACCACUUACAUGUAUAAUGACUUUAGUUAUGAGUGUACAGACAAUAGAAAUUUUUACAAUAAUUUCCAGGUCUAUGUACCACUUAACAUCAGAAUUUUCUGGAACUAUAAUUCAUUUUCUGGAUUCCGUAUCUACCUUUCCAACCCCAGUUUCUUCUUCCUGUACCCAAAUGAACUCCAUUGUAUAAAGUCCUUAAAUUCUGCCUAUGAAUUCUCCCUUCAUUGAAUCCCCUCUUUCCUGAGCAUCUAGCCUUUAGGUUCUAUUCCCUUACAAAUACUGCAAGAAUAUUAUUUAUAACAACCACUUAUUAACUUAAAAAAGUACAUUUUGGGGUGACAUUACCUCAUUUUCUCCUCACAAUAUCCCUGUGAUAUAUUACCAUCUCCGUUUUGAAAAUGGGAAAAUGGAAGCUCAGAGGGAUUGAGUGAUUUGCCCAGUGUCACAGCAAGUUAGUAGUGGAUACAGGACAAGAAUUUAGAUCUUCCUACCUUGCAAGCUCUAUAUUCUUUUCAUUACAACCCCAUCUCCUCAGCUACCUGCUGUCUGAAGCCACAAGUUUACACUCAGUUUCAUCAGCUUCAACUCUUGUUCUCUGCUCUGUAUCUCCAUCAUUUCUCCUCAAACUCCCUAAAGUUUCUUCAAACUCUAUCAGGAGUUUCUGGGAGUAGAGUUACAUUUCAAGUAUUCUGACGCUGGUCAGACUGACGCUUGCCAGUUCACAAAGAAUUUUGGGGAAUAAAUUGCUUCAGUUAAUCAAUCCAACUUGAAUAUUUGAGACUUCUAUUCAAUUAAUUUUUCUUCAGAGGUGUUUUCUAUUUUUAAAGAAAAAGAGUUGAAAUUCCCAUUUGGGGAGAUUUUUUAAAAGAAAACCAAGGCUUUUCUAAAAAAACAAGUACUUGAGCAGAUAUCUGAAAAAUGUUGGUAAAUUAAAACUUCACUAAAAAAAUCAUUGUUUCAUUAUCAUCCUGUAUGUGUAUAACGUUUAUUUUUCUUCUUCCCAUAUCACUUUUGGCUACUAGCAGUUUUUUUUUUUAUUAAAUCUUUGUUUUAUGUAACUGUGUCUUGGUAACUUUUCAGCUAAAAAGAGAAAAAAGGAUAAUCUUUAAUGUUAUUACUUGCUUUUGAUAUCAUAUCGUUUAAAAAUAGUUGACACUGACCACAGGGGAAGGGAGGGAAGACUGAAAGGGAAGAAAUCAGAGAGGGAGACAAACCAUGAGAAACUCUGGACUCCAGGAAACACAUUGAGGGUUUCAGAGGAGGGGGUGGGGGAGGGGUAGUUUGGUGAUGGGUAUUAAGGAGGGCAUGUCUUGUGAUGAGCACUAGGUGUUAUACGCAACUAAUGAAUCAUUGAACACUACAUCAAAAACUAAUGAUAUACUACUGUAUGUUGGCUAACUGAACAUAAUAAAAAAAUAGUUGACACUGAAUAAUAAU
Long non-coding RNA from Mirounga angustirostris (Northern elephant seal), 3748 nucleotides. RefSeq lists it as uncharacterized. The transcript is spliced from 4 exons. Lineage: Eukaryota; Metazoa; Chordata; Mammalia; Carnivora; Phocidae. The record is from RefSeq and is a predicted model, not a curated record.